Molecule: ribosomal RNA, 518 nt
Filed under: Bychowskyella sp. n. 1 LW-2018
Lineage: Eukaryota; Metazoa; Platyhelminthes; Monogenea; Dactylogyridea; Ancylodiscoididae
Description: eukaryotic LSU rRNA
Rfam family: Eukaryotic large subunit ribosomal RNA
Source: RNAcentral
UCUUUAUUUUUCCGGCCAGCAUGUGGUGUUCAGGCAUGAACCUGGGGAUGCUCGUCUGCUCGAAGUCCAACUCCGAUUCUGGCUUUGGAUUUGUCCCAUAGAGGGUGAAAGGCCCGUUCGAGCAGACAUAGUGGAUAUUGAGCAGCCCUCAGAUGUUCGUGCUUUCGAGUCGGAUUGCUUGAGAAUGCAGUCCAAAGCGGGUGGUAAACUCCAUCCAAGGCUAAAUACUGGCACGAGUCCGAUAGUAGACAAGUACCGUGAGGGAAAGUUGAAAAGUACUCUGAAGAGAGAGUAAAUAGUACGUGAAACCGAUUGUAUGGAAGCUGGUGGAGUCAAGCUUCUUGCUUUGGCUAUUGUCGUGGCUAUCACUUUGUUCUUGGGCUAUGGACAUUAUGGCUUGGAAAUAGCUGGUCGGUUCGCCGACUCGGUCAUUCCGGGCAGUGUGAUUGAUUGUGUCCUAUCGUCCGGUAGCUGCGUAUCUGUCAUUGCAAACAUCAAAAUCAAUGCGUUUGUGGUGU